This 556-nucleotide ribosomal RNA is filed under the name uncultured archaeon. RNAcentral describes it as "bacterial SSU rRNA". It matches the Rfam family "Archaeal small subunit ribosomal RNA", at positions 1 to 563 of the family's 1478-position model. The record is from RNAcentral.
UUCCGGUUGAUCCUGCCGGACCUGACUGCUAUCGGAUUGAUACUAAGCCAUGCGAGUCAUUGUAGCAAUACAAGGCAGACGGCUCAGUAACGCGUAGUCAACCGAACCUAUGGACGGGAAUAACCUCGGGAAACUGAGAAUAAUGCCCGAUAGAACACUAUACCUGGAAUGGUUUGUGUUCCAAAUGAUUUAUCGCCGUAGGAUGGGACUGCGGCCUAUCAGUUUGUUGGUGAGGUAAUGGCCCACCAAGACUAUUACAGGUACGGGCUCUGAGAGGAGUAGCCCGGAGAUGGGUACUGAGACACGGACCCAGGCCCUAUGGGGCGCAGCAGGCGAGAAAACUUUGCAAUGUGCGAAAGCACGACAAGGUUAAUCCGAGUGAUUUGUGCUAAACGAAUCUUUUGUUAGUCCUAGAACCACUAACGAAUAAGGGGUGGGCAAGUUCUGGUGUCAGCCGCCGCGAUAAAACCAGCACCUCAGGUGGUCAGGAUGAUUAUUGGCCCUAAAGCAUCCGUAGCCGGCUCUGUAAGUUUUCGGUUAAAUCUGUACGCUUAAC